Pan paniscus (pygmy chimpanzee) is the source of this 1856-nucleotide long non-coding RNA. The record is from Ensembl. Lineage: Eukaryota; Metazoa; Chordata; Mammalia; Primates; Hominidae.
GCCUAGUCGCUCCCCGCUGGCCGGCCGCUCCGUGAGGGCCCCGCAGCGGAGGGUCGGGGCUGGGGCGGGCUGGAGAGGGGGCCCCGGGCUGGGGCCGGUUCGGCCUCCCGGGUGGCGCGCGGGCCGAAGAACUAGGAGGACCGCCGGGCCGGGCCGCUUGUCCUUUGGAAAAACCUUGGCGGUUCCUCCUCUGGUGUCCGUGGACUCCGCCGUGGCGUUCUCCAGGGCCGCGGACCUUUGCCCACCGGUCGCGCCAGCUGUCCUGGAGCAGAAAGGACCCCCUCUCUCCCGGACCGAGCCCCCGAGCCCCCGAGCCCCCACGGAGCAGGCAAGCGCCGGAGUCCCGGGGCUAAGGCCCGGCCGGCGGGCGCUCUGGCACCUUUUCCCGCCCCCGAGGGUGCCUGUCCGGCCCGGCCGGGACUGGCUGGGAAACCGAGGCGGGAAGAGGUCGCAGUCCCGCAAGGAAUCGUUUUUGAGACAGCAUAUUGCUCUAGCGCCCAGGCUGGAGUGCAGUCAUGUCAUCUCAGCUGUUUGUAACUUCCACCUCCUGGGCUCAAGCGAUCCUCUUGCCUCAGCCUCCCAAGUAGCUGGGACUACAAGCAUGUGCCACCUCACCCAGCUAAUUUUGAAACCUGGAGAAACCUCAACUGGAACGUCAAGUAAGCAGAUUCCAGCUCUCUGGGCCCAGGGUGAGAAAAGGAAGUUGUAUGAAAAGAGGAGAAAGGAAAAAAACAGUCUCAUAUUGUGCAACAGGUGAAGUCCCACAUUGCCCCACUUCGAGGAUUCCAUUCUGCCGUUUGUAAUUCCUGACAAGGCAAUUGGGAUCAGAGAGUGGUCCACUGAUGGCGCUCAAUGCCACAGAGCUGAUGAAUGGCACUGCCAAGAUUUGAAUCAAGAUUCAUCUGACUCCAAAGUCCAUUUUCUUUCCAUGCUGUAGUCUCCUGAAUAAACAUAGAGUGUGACCACAAAGAGAACCCGUUGACUGAUAGACUGCUAGGAGCUAUUCCACACUCAAAGACUGAUUAUAUUCGGACUUAAUUCAGGGAAGGGAUAGGGCUAGUCUGUCCUAGGACAAGGAGGGAACGGAGAAGAAAUAAAGAUUUCAAGAUAUUUUCUUGGACCAGCAAAAGAACAGGAUAAAUUAACCAGUAAGAAUCAAGUUUGGAAGACCCAGAUAGAGAAUGUUCUUCUAGUAUAAAAACAGAAUUGAGCUGGGUACAGGGCCUCACACCCAGCACUUUGGGAGGUCAAGGCAGGCAGAUUGCUUGAGCCCAGAAGUUUGAGACCAGCCUGGGGAACAUGGUGAAACACUGUCUCUAUAAAAAACAUACACACAAAAAAAAAACUUGACUGGGAGUGGUGAUACACACCUGUAGUCCCAGCUGCUCAGUAGGCUCAGGUGGGAAGAUCACCUGAGCCCAGGAAAGUCCAGGCUGCAGUGAGUGGUGAUUGUGCCACUGCACUCCAGCUUGUUUGACAGAACGAGACCCUGUCCCAAAAACAAAGCAAAGCAAAGCAAAACAAAACAAAACAGAAUUAUAUACCUAGUAAUGAGUUUAUCUAUGUUACAGGCAAAAUGUGUAAUCUAAGGAUGUGGGUGUGUCCCAGCCAGUCCAUAGGGAAUGCCCAUGCUCAUGUUAAGCCCUGGCUGGUUUGACAGUUGCUGGGCACCUGUACAGAAGGUGAAGCUUACAAAGGCCCUGCAUACAGGAGUGUGCAAGGUUGGACAAAUGAAGGGAAUGAGGAUAAUUGGAUCAAGAUCUCUAUCUGCCUUUAGCUCUACUAUUCCAACCCAACUGCUCACCUUUAACCCCACAUUGUUACCUGCUCUUCUCUGAGAAAGAAAAAAGAAGAGU